UCACUUACCUGGAAGGGGAGACACCAUGACCAGGAAGGCUGUUUUCCCAGAGGACGCUCGCCCAUCACAUUCUGGGUGUGCUGACCCUGGGUGUUCCCCGAAUGUGGGACACUCAGCUGCAUGGUUUGUGCUGGUAAGGGACUACAUUCAUGCUUUCUCCUA
This is a small nuclear RNA of Phyllostomus discolor (pale spear-nosed bat), 162 nucleotides long. RefSeq annotates it as U1 spliceosomal RNA. The record is from RefSeq and is a predicted model, not a curated record. NCBI's taxonomy places the organism in Eukaryota, Metazoa, Chordata, Mammalia, Chiroptera, Phyllostomidae. The transcript has a single exon.